CGUGUUCUUUAUAGUAAAGUAGUUUCAAGGGGGCACUAAGUGAGUUCAUUUUUUGUUUUAAAGUUCAGUAAUUUAUUUGCUUUUUUACAGAAAGAGGAAGAACGUUUGAGGGCUUCUACUCACCAGAAGACCAUCCAUGUGCGGGAAAAGCAGAACCAGCGGGGACCGAGUGCCCCCUACCAGAGCCCCAGCAGUGGUAAGGAGGGUGAAGCCAGCAAGAACCAUGGCCGAGGAGGUGAACCCUCCAGAAAGAGGAAAGCAGGCGGAGAAGAAGAAGAGGAUGACUGAAGCAUGAAACGCGUGCUUGCUUAUACCAUGGACUCCCCUUUUUAAAUGAAGAAUAUAAGAUGCUGUCAAUGGAAAAACAAUAUACAAAGCUCUAUACAUGUAACUUUUCCAGAGGACACCUACUGUACAAAGCAAGUAUGUGGAUUAUUUCAUUCAAAUAACAAGAAUCUGCAAUUUAACAGUCAAGAUAUAUUUCCUUAAAAUCUGUAACAAUCUGAUUCUUUAAACACGAAAUGUUUAUUUGGUCUUUUAAACGACAGGCACCGCACCCUUAGAAAAUGUAUUUCACCUAUGAAUUAGACUUCUACUAGGCUUUAGCUCCAAGUAUACAGCACCAAAAUCCAUUUUAAUAAUAUCAAUAUUAUUAAUAUUGAUUUUUUAAUACAUACAAUUUCAUGCAAACUGGAAGAAUCAGAACUUCCAAUAUGAAUAUAAAAUUUUAUAAAAUGGGAAAUUAAAAGCUUUUUAAAAAACAGCAAUUUAAAAAUGCAAAGAAUAGUCUUUGCUUAGAUAACCAGAUAAGUUUACAUUGGUUACACUACAAAAACUUAAAGUCUUAGAAAAUCUUUGGUUUAAAAAUCAAGAGUAUUUCACAACUCCAAUUUGUUAUAAAAAAUUUUAGAGAAAUACAGAAAUACUGAAAGUUACUAAAAGGGUAAGAGGUGCCAGAUUUUUAAAGAUCAAAGCAAACAUCAGUUUUCUCCCUUGUAAUUACAAUUCUUGAAAGAUUUUCUGCAUUUAAUCAGAUGAAUGUUCACCCUUAUUUAUUAAGAAAUCUUUUCUUCAAUUAUAUAAUGAACUAUUGUAGCUCAGAACUGGAAUGGUACAAGGAAAACACUCAACUUCUUCACACUUUGAUAAAUAAUAAGUGGAAAAGAUAUUACCCCAAGUAUAACACACAAUUUUAGGUGGGGCCUACCUACCUAUAUUUAAAAAAAAAACUUCGGGGAGGAAAGGGUAACAUACUUAGCAAUUUACCGACUGACUUAAAGGGCAGGGCAAGCAAGGAAGCCUUGCUAAAAGUGUACUGGUAGCUCUGUACAGCUGCUCCAUGCUGACUCCCCACCCUGCUGGAACUGUGCAGUCUCUAAAACCAAGUGCAUUUCCAAAAUCAUUUAUGAAAGGAGAGAGGGAGAGAGCGAGCGAGGGUGAGCUUGACUUGCUAACUUGGAAAAACCUCCAGCACCCUAUAACUGAAAGGGAAUAGCAGUACGGUGCAAAGCCAAUCUUUGGCCCCUUUCAAACAAUGGAUACUGAUUCCAAAAAAACACACACUCAGUCCUCAUGAGGAAAGCUUUUGCCUGUUAAGAAGGCUUAUUACUGUAGCAUGCAAGGAGCUGCCUAGCUCAUUAAACUGUCCAACCCAAGACAGAGGAGCAGACAUUUUAUAAUUCAAUUUCAAGAAGUUUAAAAAAAUUAACAAUAGACCUCUCCCCUAUUCUGGAAGAUUGUUCCUUUAGAAAAAUCUCCCUGUAAGUGAUACACCCAGGCCUGAACCGUCGAGGCCAGGACUGCUCAGACUCCUUUGCCCCUGUCGUCUGCAGCUGUAACGCCUCUGCCAUCUCCUGCUCUGGGGCUGCCCUGAAAUAGGACAUGAAUGCAGGCCCAAACUGUCUAUCAUACUAUUGGAUGUGGAAUAGUCUUCCCACCACAGAACCACCAUUUAACUGUUCACCUUAAUACUUUGAAUGAUAGGAAGACAGCUUGUGUUAUGAGAAAUUGCUUUUAUACAAUGUAGACCAAAAAGUACAAGAUGAAAGGAAACAGAUAGAUUUAUCAAGAACAGCCAUUUUCCUUAUUGGUUGGGAAAAAUCUGUAGUGAGUGGUGAUUGUAUACCAUUCAGACAACUCUGUGUUGCAUAUAGGAACGUCUCACUAUCCUGUGCAGCUCUUAAUUUAUACCCAGGCCAGUUUCUCAUUUACCAUCAGUAACCAACAAUUUAAAGGACCGUUUUGCAUGCUCCUCAGACUUAACCUCCACCAUUUAUUAACUUUGAUUUCAUGUGUUUAACAACAGCUUUCUUUUUUCUUUUACCCUAAAUAACUGAGAGUUGGCUGUAUGCCUUUUACAGGGAAGAAAAAAUAGCUUUCCUACUCAGAUGUUUUUUUUUUUUAGUAUGAGCCUUCACAAAAAUUUAAUAAUGCCCACAUUAUUACAGUGAAAAAACGGUAAUUAGUUUGGCCCUAACUGUACUUUUAAACAAAGUGUGUAACCUGGCCAAGCUGAUGACUUUGUUGAAAAACACUGUAGGUGUUGCUGAGACACCGUGGACACGUACAGUGCUGUGGAAUGUACAGGAGACUGCUUUCUCUCUCCUAGAGAUCUGCUGUGACUCCAAAACAGAUGACCAGGUUUUGAGUCAUCUGUUUUAAAGUGCUGGCAUUUCGCUUUCUUGAUAGAAGCAAAAACCAUACUCUUGCCAAGUUCAUGUGUUCUGAAACUUGGAAAAGUCUCCUUGCCAUGGAAUAAGGAAAGCUUUGAAGUUCCUUGUACCUAAGAGGUGCAGCAACAAUUCUGACAUCAGCAAUGUCCCUUUUUGACUUAAAAAAAGAUUGGUCCUUAGAAUGUUCAUAUUAUUCUACAUAGAUGACUUCCUAAACUUUUUUAUAAUUGUAUUUUUUUAACCCAACUCAUCAUAAACCAUUUAAUUAAGCUAAAUUAAAAUUGAUUUUAGCAGAAAGUAGAAAUAAUGCUUUAGAAUACAAAAUACCACCUACUAGUGAUUUACAGUUUGAAACUGGUAACAACUUAAACUAGAUAAAAGAUACAUGUAGUUAAAAUAAAA
Kogia breviceps (pygmy sperm whale) is the source of this 3074-nucleotide non-coding RNA. The record is from RefSeq and is a predicted model, not a curated record. Lineage: Eukaryota; Metazoa; Chordata; Mammalia; Artiodactyla; Physeteridae.